RNAcentral lists this transfer RNA (65 nucleotides) under Aquarius remigis (common water strider). RNAcentral describes it as "tRNA-Ile". The record is from RNAcentral. Lineage: Eukaryota; Metazoa; Arthropoda; Insecta; Hemiptera; Gerridae. RNAcentral also lists the same sequence under 6 other names.
AAUAAGAUGCCUGAUUAAAGGGCUAUUUUGAUAGAAUAGAUAAUGUAAUUUUAUUACUCUUAUUA